RNAcentral lists this ribosomal RNA (429 nucleotides) under Verrucomicrobiota bacterium. RNAcentral's name for it is "Verrucomicrobia bacterium partial 16S ribosomal RNA". It matches the Rfam family "Bacterial small subunit ribosomal RNA", at positions 355 to 776 of the family's 1533-position model. Lineage: Bacteria; Pseudomonadati; Verrucomicrobiota. The record is from RNAcentral.
UAGGGAAUCUUCCGCAAUGGACGAAAGUCUGACGGAGCAACGCCGCGUGAGUGAAGAAGGAUUUCGGUUCGUAAAACUCUGUUGUUAGGGAAGAAAAAAUGUAUAGUAACUAUAUACAAAAGAGACGGUACCUAACCAGAAAGCCACGGCUAACUACGUGCCAGCAGCCGCGGUAAUACGUAGGUGGCAAGCGUUGUCCGGAAUUAUUGGGCGUAAAGCGCGCGCAGGUGGUUUAGAAAGUCUGAUGUGAAAGCCCACGGCUCAACCGUGGAGGGUCAUUGGAAACUAAUAAACUUGAGUGCAGGAGAGAAAAGUGGGAUUCCUAGUGUGGCGGUGAAAUGCGUAGAGAUUAGGAGGAGCACCGGUGGCGAAAGCGGCUUUUUGGCCUGCAACUGACACUGAGGCGCGAAAGCGUGGGGAGCAAACAGG